UGGAUGCUCCAACUUGACGCAUGUCUUGUUGGGGAAAGUGUUUAGUGGCAUGGGGAUGGGGGUCGCGUCCUAUCAGCUUGUAGGCGGGGUAAUGGCCCACCUAGGCUUCGACGGGUAGCCGGCCUGAGAGGGCGGACGGCCACAUUGGGACUGAGAUACGGCCCAGACUCCUACGGGGAGGCAGCAGUGGGGAAUAUUGCGCAAUGGGGAAAACCCUGACGCAGCGACGCCGCGUGCGGGAUGAAGGCCUUCGGGUUGUAAACCGCUUUUGAUUGGGGAGCAAGCUUUCGGGUGAGUGUACCUUUCGAAUAAGCGCCGGCUAACUACGUGCCAGCAGCCGCGGUAAAU
This 348-nucleotide ribosomal RNA is filed under the name uncultured Gardnerella sp. RNAcentral describes it as "bacterial SSU rRNA". It matches the Rfam family "Bacterial small subunit ribosomal RNA", at positions 170 to 525 of the family's 1533-position model. Lineage: Bacteria; Bacillati; Actinomycetota; Actinomycetes; Bifidobacteriales; Bifidobacteriaceae. The record is from RNAcentral.